Molecule: small RNA, 499 nt
Filed under: Pongo abelii (Sumatran orangutan)
Lineage: Eukaryota; Metazoa; Chordata; Mammalia; Primates; Hominidae
Description: processed transcript
Source: RNAcentral
GCGGCGCUGCUGGCUCCAGGCCGCCCUCCGGAUCCGAUCCUGCGAAUGGUUUUGGCCACAUCUUCAUGCCCAGAGCCAUGGCUAUCUCCUCUUCCUCCUGCGAACUGCCCCUGGUGGCUGUGUGCCAGGUAACAUCGACGCCAGACAAGCAACAGAACUUUAAAACAUGUGCUGAGCUGGUUCGAGAGGCUGCCAGACUGGGUGCCUGCCUGGCUUUCCUGCCUGAGGCAUUUGACUUCAUUGCACGGGACCCUGCAGAAACGCUACGCCUGUCUGAACCACUGGGUGGGAAACUUUUGGAAGAAUACAGCCAGCUUGCCAGGGAAUGUGGACUCUGGCUGUCCUUGGGUGGUUUCCAUGAGCGUGGCCAAGACUGGGAGCAGACUCAGAAAAUCUACAAUUGUCACGUGCUGCUGAACAGCAAAGUAGUGGCCACUUACAGGAAGACACAUCUGUGUGAUGUAGAGAUUCCAGGGCAGGGGCCUAUGUGUGAAAGCAA